AGAAAAAUCUUCUGCAAAGCAAAUUUCAGCUUUUACUUCAACAAGUAUGUAGCAAGCUCUCAGUAUUCAGCAUAACAAAAGUUCAUGCAGUUCAGGGCUUUCAUGAUUGCAGCGGAUCUUUUCUUGGGAUUUUUAAAAUGUCCUAGACACAAUUAAAGGAAUUUCUCAGCAAGGAGAGUGCAAGCUGGGGACUCUCCAGCAGAUGUAAUCACUCAAGGAAAACGUUGUUUGGCUUGGCUGGGUCCUGCCUUCGUUCCAUGCUUUCAUCCCACCGCCCGUCUUUGUCCCUCAGUGCUUUCCAGUGUCUCUCUGUAUGUCUUUGUCCGUCUUUCUGUCUGCCCCACAUUCCCUUGCAGGCUGAAUGGGGCAGCGUUAACCUGGCUACUUCCAAGACAAACAGCACAUCGGAUUGCAGGAGGGGGCCUUUGGUUGUCAGCAGUCUUCGCGGUCACUCACUUCCUAGAAUUAAAGGCUGGGAGCUGAUCUGUAAGCCAGCCAAGCCAGAGACAAUGAGUGGGUUCCCAUUCUGUUCCUUUGAUACUGACUUAAAUAUGUGCACCAAAUGGGCAAACAACAUUUACAUAAACGUAAGUAGGAGUCUGCUUUCUCACACAGAAGUGUUCUGCAGUGCGUCUUCUCACAGGUAGUAAAACUCAUCUGUUUUUUCCUGAAGGACUUCCCCUGCUCUCAGAGAGAACUGAUUUGUCAUGGAAUUGAAUUCCUGACUGUGGUGUGCUUUCUGGUUUUGGUUUUUUGGUAGCUGUGAGAAGACGGGGCUGCUGCAGCUGGAAUCCCAGUGGGCAAGAGGAGACACAGAGGUGUGGCAGCUCCAGGCAUGGCUGUUGGGGUCGUGGAGCCUCUGUGGCCCCUACCCAGGUCUGAGCCUUCCGUGGGGGACUGGGAGCUGGGCAGCCAGGAGUCGUGCGGGAAACCCAGCACCUACCAGCAUUGUAAAUGGUGAUGUAUGGCCUGAAGGGCAGCUGGUUGAGGAGGCUGACACCUGCUCAAGGUAGAAAAGGAAAAAUACGAACAGUGAGGGCCCACUGUCUCCUAAGCAAUACACAUUUCUGGGCAGUCAUUGCGAUGCUGCUUCACUGAGCACUGCUGCUUGGUAGCAUCAGAGAAUAGCUUCAAUUGGAGAGGACUUUGGAGAACAUCUAGUUCCAGCCUGCCUGUUGUGGGCCCUGCAAGAGAGUGUUCAAGUGAUCACAGUAAGUACUGUAACGGAUAUUAGUAGGGACAGAAAUUCUUGGCUGCCUGCAAGUCUUACAGGGAGGUUUCAAACAUGUUUAUUUCAAAUGUCUUUUAAAGAAAUAGCAGUGGAAGAGAUCAACCACAUAGAAAAUAUUUUAGGUGACUGCAGCUCACAAACUCAUGCACAGCGUGGUAGGUUGCUCAGAUAGGGCUUGGUGUUGUUUCUGCAUUGCCAAGAAAGCCAGUGCAGACAUCCUAAUGCACUGGCUUUGGUGCUCCCAGCAGCUCAGUGCCAUCGCCUUCCCUCCUGGACGAGCCACAAGCCAUCGUGGUUCAUAAAUUCUGUUGCAACUCCUGGAUGGAAGAUGCUCUAAAGAGCACAAAGAACUAUUGCAGCUAAGCAUUACGUCCAGUCACAUCUCACACUGUGUGAUGUCUUCUCGAGAUCGAGUUGUUGUGUCUAUGUGCAGGCACUUGGUUGUGUUAAUCCCUGGCCAACUGCAUUGUGGUCUCCUUGGAGAGCUGUCCCAGUCUACCUCCUCCUCCCCACUGCCUACUGUUACAGUCUAUAUAUUUAUCAUCCUUCACUUCAGAAUGUGAUUGUACUCAUUUUUAUUUUAAGUUUUUUUAUACUUUAUCGCAUCAUUCUUAUGCUCCAAAAGGUCUGUGGUGGCUGAUGUAAGGCAAACUGUUGUUAAAAGCAGAUCUUUAGUGUCAGUCUCUAACAGUGUACAGUGACAUAACUGCUUUUGAAGGACUGGAGAAGUGCAGUGUACAGUUUGGUGCUUCCAUGGAAUAUGCAAAAGGCCUUAAUGAUUAUUGUAUUUUACAUUAAAUGUGCAUCUUAAAUAGGCAAAGCUAUGAAUAAAUGAAUGUGUGAAAGACUGUUGAACUUCCCCACUUCAGCUAAUUCCUGGACAGCCCAAACCCCCAAAUUUGGCUGUAUAAAUUUUACUGCGAGGCUAAAGACUGAGGGGACUUGAACCCUAGUCCAUGGCAGUUCCUUAAGAGGAAUGAACCCUCAGGAAGUUGGGCUGGAUCAAGCUAUGCAUCUCUUUAAGUUUCUGUUUGGCUCCAUAUAAACCAUUCUGAGUGGUUUACACAUGCCAAAUGUCUCCUACAACACAGAGGGAUGUCCCACUCCCAGCCGCUCGCUUAACUCUUCCAUGUUCCUUGUUGAACACCCUGUUCUUCGCGAUACCACAGCAGGAUGGCAGCUGACAAAUAACAUUGUGGGCUGGAAUUCUUGUAGGUUUUUCUAACAUACCUGUGUCUGUGUAUACCUCAUCCUCUCUCACUGCCCAUUGGGAGUUUUCCUCUUUUCCCAGCUGAAGAGGAAUGGUGUGUUAAACAAACUGUGGGCUGACACUUGGAAACCCAGCAGCGUUGCUCAAUCAGUUCUUGGUUUCGGUAUUAUUCAUUUGCCCUAGAGCUGCAGGCUUCUAGCCCAGCAUGUUGCCCAUGCAUGCAGGUGACAAGAGCGUGGAUGUGAUGACCAGAACCCGUCUUCUGCUGCAGAGCCUGCUGUAGGACAUCACUGUGUUUUGGACAUGUGCUUGUUUUGUGCCGCAGGUUGCAGCGUGUUACUUGGCUGUACCAGCUUGUCCUAAUUCGUGGGCAGCAGUGCCUGCAGCACCGUGCUCUGCUCUGCCAUUCUGAUGUGUAAGUUCCUGAACUCUUGGAAUGGCAACAAGACAUGCUAAGGCACUGAUGGACUUCUGAAAUGCUCUGUAGUACCCAUGAUGGUUAUGUAGGUGGACUGAAAGCCCAUGGGCCUGAGAAAUCCUUCAAAAUAGUGCCCAGAGCCACAAACUGCUUUGUAGUCCAGCCUGGCUUCCCUGGGUAGCAGCAGCACCUCACAGUGCCCCACUUGACAGUGCCCCCACCAUCAGCAGUGCCUGCAAUGAGCACAGACCUUUGGAAGCUGCAGGACAUUGCAGACUAAGCUGUUUUUCUCAGUUUUGAUUCAGCAGUGUAACUCAGUAUCUCGCUCUAAAAAGACUUUCCAUUGGUAUGCAGGGCUCAUAUAACAGCUCCUUCACUGUUUCCUGCGGGUUAGGAGGGAAAGGAUCUUUCCAUGCAUAAUUUAAUCACAUUCAGCAGUUCAGCAUUUGGAUUUUUUUUUUCCCAUAGAAAAUCUUUAGCAUCUAGUUAGUUAAAUCUUACACUUUUCGAAAUGUCUGUGAGCGUGCUUAUCUUGUGCAUUCAGAUAAACACCUCUCAGCAUCCUGUUUUUCUUAUGUCAUACGAACAGGAAGAGAACGAUUGUUUGAGAUGUGCGUCAGUCAUCAUUGUAACCAGGCAGUCACGCUGCCCUCCCCAUUUACCAUGGAAACCAGCAGAUCUCUUCAAACACGCUGGUGGUAGCUGUCAGGACCACCGAAAUCCAGGCUCAAACAAGCCAAGGGACCUCUGCUGCUGCUCAUGCACCCUGCCCUCCAUGUCUGCAGCUCUCCUUCAGAGUCCCUCCGAUGGCUUCAUGUCCUUCUGAUAUCCAGCACUCAGAGCUGCACUCAGCGCUCGAGCAGGUUUGUUAAAGGUAGCAACACACGUGCACUUGCGGAGAAGACAUUAGGAUCUGUUGCACAUUUAAGCUUUUCUUCACUUUGUUUCAUUUUUCAACUCACGGGGAAGGUUUGUGUUGUAAUGCAUGCUGGAUGGAGAGUUGAAGAGGAAUCAUUGUACUGAUAUUGGAAAGCUGUGAGACUCAGAUUCAAUAAAAGCAAUAACUGGCAAAAUAUGAUGUGUUCUUAAAUUCCUAAGCCUCAAGAUGUUUAGGUUUAAAGCUCUAGCUGAAAUACGUCGAUACCAUUUGGUUGGGACAGAUUAAAACACACUGACUUUUUCAGUUAAGAGCUGAGUCUUUGUGUUGGGGCACCAAAAGUGCCUCAGGUGUUUCUACCCAUGCAUUAACCACACAACCUGAGUACAUUGCUAACAUCAGCUCUCAACAUGCCAAACUGUCUAUUUCUAUUUUUAAAAACAAUUAAAUCUCCUUGGGAUGCUUUUAGAGCAAAGCUUCCUUAAAACUAAUUACUUUUUUUUUGGUGAUCUGAAUGGUUUCAGCUAGUAACAGGCAUCAACAAAGUGCCUUUCUGUUUCAAUAUGCUUCUGAAACGCCAGUGUAAAAGCUGAUGUGUUCUUCAGGCUCAGGCUGGGUCUCUCAGGUGUAACUGGUAGAUUGUUUGGAGUGAUCACAUUGUCCAGCCAGAGAUGAAAACAGAUUUUGUGAUGGAUCUUAAAUACUGACUAUGGAUCAUUGAUUUUCACUUCAGACUGAACCAGCAGUUCAUCAGCGAGUCAUCGAGCUGUGCUGGUUUUCCCAGGAAAAGCCUCCAUACAAAGGACUGGGAAGGCGCAGUCUGUGGGGUAGUGACUCAUCAUCCCGUGGCCAUGGGAUGUGUCUCUUCCAGGCUCAUUUGCCUUUACCUAAACCUCUUGAAGCUUAAGAGCAUCAUUAUGGCAGCAUCCUCAUGUUUAAUCUCAGAGAUGACCUGAUAUGCUGUAGGUGAGCCUUUUGGUUGGAAAACGGGGUUCGUUGGCUUGCUUUUGUCUUGGCUGCACGAGUCAUGGAAUCACAGAACCAUAGAAUGGGUUGGGUUGGAAGGAAGCUCUAAAAUCAUCUAUUUCCACCCCCUACUGUAGGCAGAGAAACCUCCCACCAGACCUGGUUGGCCUUCUGGGCUGCACGCACACGUAGCUGGUCGUGUUGAGUCCUUCGUCAGCUGAGUCGGUGUGUAACUCACCAGUCCCUUCUCUAAGGGCAGGCUGAGCUGAGCAGCAGCCACGAGUGUUUCUUAGCUCUCCUGGACCAUAAAAAGGGUAUCUGCCAGUAAUUAAAACAAUUUACAGCUUCCUUAGUGUUAGCCUUCACAACUGAAAAUGGCAGCCCGUUCCCCCCCUGCGGCAGAAUGGAGGUUACUGCUCUAAAAAGAAAACCAGAGGGCUUCAAAACUUGCACUGGUGUUUCUU
Phasianus colchicus (ring-necked pheasant) is the source of this 5166-nucleotide non-coding RNA. The record is from RefSeq and is a predicted model, not a curated record. NCBI's taxonomy places the organism in Eukaryota, Metazoa, Chordata, Aves, Galliformes, Phasianidae.